Molecule: non-coding RNA, 2536 nt
Organism: Lactuca sativa (garden lettuce)
Lineage: Eukaryota; Viridiplantae; Streptophyta; Magnoliopsida; Asterales; Asteraceae
Source: RefSeq, a predicted model, not a curated record
UGUUGUCUUAUGUGGUUAUUAAAUUUGAUAGUGGAUUACAAAUGUCUUUGUUUCUUAAACUGUCACCGCUUCUGCAUCUCUGUGUAGGUGAUAGUGGAUUACACAUGGCUUAAUUUGUUAAACUUGGCUUAAUUUGUUAAACUCCUUUCUACGUGUUUCUUUUCGUUGUCGUUCGUUUUUGCCACUUCCACUUUUCCCACCGCUUACCUUCUGUGUCGCUCUUUUCUUUUAUUCUUCUCAGGAGGAUCGUCGGCUUUCUUUGCAGGUUUGUCCUCACGCAUCUUCCUCCGUUUCUGUUUAUUGGUGUUGUUUCUUUGCAAAAUUUUACUUUCCAUUGUAUAUGUUUAUGUUUCAAAUUGUAAAAUGCCAAAGCGGAACUCUGUUUAUCAUACCCACUGUACGGUGUAUACGUGUUUUCCUCCAUGGCUUCUGCUUCGUUUGUGUCAUGCUCUCUUCAAUACUAUGGUGUCCUCCACCAUUUCGUUCCCCGAUUAAAUUACUCCACCACACCACCACCGACUCCAACACCGUUAACUACCCACCGAUUGCCUCAUAUCCACUGCCAUAGAUUUCUCAAGCGGCUUCUCCCUUUUUUCUUCCUUUUACUUGCGCUUCCGUCGCAUUUCGGAGUAGCCACCGGGGUUACCAUCGAUCCAUCGCCUCCAUCUACUACAACUUCCACUUCGUAAAAUAACCGUCGGAUGAGUUGGUGCUGUUCUAAUCAUCUCCAUCGAUACUGAUAGGUAAUCGACAGAGAAUCUCUAGCUGUUUCUUCGUUUUUCUUCAUUAAUUGCUAAAAAAAACCUCAAAUUUGGGGUGGAUAGGAUGGGCGGUGGAAGCGGUGAUGGUGUGGUGACCGAUGGUAUUGAAUCAACCAAGGCUGGAGGUGUAAGUUCCCAUAAUUGAACUCUUAUUUGUUCUGUUUUUUCUCAUUAUCGAUUGUGAUAAACCCAUCAGAGAAGACAAAUGUACUGUUGUGAGGUUGGAAUAUGCGUAGCAAAUUAGGAACAUAAUUUAGGGAUUUGUGUUGUUUUGAUAUUAUCACGAUUUGAAGACGUAUCUUGGAAACAAUGGAAAUUUCGUAGUUAUGCUUAGAUGCUAUUUAUCUAUUAUUGAUGAACAUUGUUUUAUUUGGAGAACAUGUUCAAAUAUGUUUACUUCUUGUGCAAGUGUCUUACAUGCUCUGACUUAGGAUUUUCACAGAUUCAGUUCAACUUUGUUGUGAGUGAGUGGAUGUUUGUUUGGUUUAGCUUGAUCGCUGUCUAAUUUUGAAAUCUAUGUUAAAUAUACACAUGGAGGUGCAUCAGAAGCAGAUAUUAGAGUCCUUCCUAAAUACAGAUAUGUACAUAAUGAAGAUCCACUUGAUGUUGGGGGUAGAAUGGUCCCUUUUGAAACAAAUGAUCCGGAUUUCUCCUGUGAACAUGUUCUUCGAUUCUAAGAUGCGGUAAGUUUAUUCCCAACUAUAGACCUAAUUGUUUGGAUGUUUUUUGUAAGCCUGUUUGGUUCCCGAAUUCUGAUAGAAUCUAACAGCAUUAGAAUUUGAGAUUCCAUUCUCUAUGUUGUUUGGCUGCCAAAUGUUUUUAGGUGAGAAGUCGAGCCAUGACUUUGGAGAGUUAUAUAAGAUCAAGUAAAGAUAUACUGAAACAUGCUUCAAAGCUUCUUAAGGCUGAACUUCCUCUAUCACUUAGAUUAAUUGGUAAUGUUUAUUGGGUGAAAAUUAAAUAAUAAUAUUUAUUAACAAUAAUCUAAAUUCAGAAAUAAAAUGCUUUUGAUUUUGUGUGGUGUCUGACAAGGAAGUUGAUGGAAGCAUGGCAAAUGCCAACCAUGUGAAUGUUGAUGAUGAUAGUCAAUCUGAUUCAGAACCAGUGGUUGAGUGGUUGUAUACUGCCCCAAUUUAGAAAUCAGUAAUUCCUAAAUUCUAAUUUGAUACUGUGGAAAUUCUUGAUGUACAUGCUAAUGGCAGUGUAUCUGUUGCUUUAUUGGUCAAAUUCAAAGGGUUUGUAAGUGUUUUUAAGAAAACAGCUUCCGGAGGAUUAAAUGACCGAAAAAUCCUUGGAAAUGAAGCUUUAAGAUUCUCUCAUCGAAUCCCAUCAAAAAAACUGACUGGAGCAGAAAGAGUUGGUGUACCACUUGGAUCUUUUGAGCUUAAUACAGCUUCUUUACCAGAUGAUCUUCAAGACUAUGAUUAUUCUGUCAAUCCUGCAGUGCUUAAAAGAUGGUUUCAUCAGUUUCCAAAAAUGCAGUAAGAUGAAGUUAUAAGCAUACCUGCACAUGGUAAUAACGUCUGAAAUGGAAUAAAAUUUUCUUUUAGGAAGUUUUAUGAAGUUAUUCUUAAAUUGUUUUGUUAGAAUUUUUAAACACAUUGAUAACUUUUACAUGUUACAAAAUUAGCAUUGGGAAGAAUUUAAGCUUUAAAGACAUUUGUGCCAUCCAUUUUAGAUAUUUUAGUUAUAGAUUUUAAGCAAAAUACAUACAAGAAUCCAUUUAUUGUUCUUCAGAUCAAAUACGAGAUGAGGCCACAUGUGUCAUUUGCCUU